RNA transcript from Gadus chalcogrammus (walleye pollock), 1892 nucleotides. It is a transcript of the gene named keratinocyte associated protein 2, with no coding region annotated. The record is from RefSeq and is a predicted model, not a curated record. The transcript is spliced from 6 exons. Lineage: Eukaryota; Metazoa; Chordata; Actinopteri; Gadiformes; Gadidae.
CUUCUUCACUUGUUCAAAGAUUAAGUCGGUUUAUAAAUUGGGUUGCACCUUGCCGUCAUGUUGUUGUAGCAACCAUCUCUUUAUUUGGCUUUGCAAGCUCGUAGCAUAUCUUGUUACUUGUGUAACACUUUUAAAGGUUUUAACGCCAUGUCCCUUCAUUGUUUUGAACAUCAUUGUGAUUAAAUGCAAUACCUCCCGAGCGUUAGCAGCUAGAUCGGCUAACCAGGUGUUCCGGUCAGACGGCCGAUGAUAAAUAAGUACUCCUACUACUAAUAAUAAUAAUAAUAAUAAUAACUACUACUACUAAAAUAUAUUACUGAAGCAAUACACAGCACCCGCGCUCCACUCCAACUAUGGCGGUGAUCAGCAGCCUGGUUCCAGCCAGGUUCCUCACCAUCACCUCUCAUCUGGUGAUCGUCAUCACCAUCUUCUGGUCAAGGGACAACAAUGUCAAGGCAGGCUUACCUUUGGAUUUCAGUCAGGAACAAUAUGACAAAGAAGAUGCCAACUUGGUAGUUGGAUUGUCGGUCACCUUGGGCCUGUUUGCGAUAGAGUUGGGAGGCUUUUUCUCCGGGGUGUCCAUGUUCAACUGCAGCCAGGGACUUCUGUCCCUGGCCGUCCACUGCAGUGCAUCCGUCUCCUUGUCAUUCUUUGUCUUUCAACAGUGGGAAUGCCAGACAUAUUGGGUUAUAUUUUCCAUCUGCAGCGUGCUUCCUGCAUUAGUGGAGAUAAUGCUGUGCAUUGCAGUAUUUGGAAUGAAGAAGAAGCCACUAUAACAGUUAUUAAAAAAAUGACUGCAUGGUAUGAUACAGUUGAACAUGAUGCAUCCCAUUAGCCGGCAGGUAUCCCACUGUGUGGAAGAACAUUUAGUUAGCAAUGGGUAGGCAACUACGAUGUUAAAGAUGGAUGAUAUAUUUUUACUAGGGUAUGUAUGUAGUAUGUAUAUGUUGAGAACAAUUUGUGACUUCUUUGUAGUUUUGUGUUUUGUCUUUAAAGCCUAUUUUAUAUAUUUAGGAGUUUAUUUGUAUAAUCUUUUGACAGUAUAAUUUCAAAUCUGGUGUCCCCUGAAAUAAAGUUUUGCAGCUAGGCUCAAUCAAUGAAAUGGUCAUUCUUUUAUUUAGACUAAAGUCUAAAGCAUAGCAGCUAUUAGCUGGCAUUGGUGCCUUUUUAUAAACCCUGCUGAUUUAUAUUUUUUUAAUCUUUAUUUACCAAGGGAGGUGUAGGCUUGUUGAGCAUCAGUGUUUUGCUUCCAGCAGUAUCCUGCUUAAAUGUGUGACUUUUGAGGUGGGGAGGAAUUUUCUGAACAAAUGCAAUUUCUGCACAAGUUGAGUUUGCUCCGGCUGCAGAUUAUGUGGAGAAAUAAUUGAUUGAAGUUUACCUUGCAAAGAAUGCACUUUUUCUUUCAAUAUGUUUAUGCUCCAUAGUGUAUCUUACAGGAUCAAUAGAAAAAAGAACAAAUAUUUAUGGGAAUACAUACAAUGUGAGAUGCUUUACAGGAAAAUUAGUUGCUAAAUAAAUCAUGUACAUCUGUGACUUAUUUUUUUAUUGUGACGUAUAACCUUAUUUGAACGAUCAUAUGAAUGAUCAUAACAAUGUGUAAUGGGUUGUUCUAUAAUUAUGUAAAACAUGUAGAACCCAUCUUUGUUCAUCAGCUCUUAGCCCCGCCCAUAGGUGUCACACGUAGGUCUUUCCGGAAGUCCCUCCCUUCUAGGUUCCUAUUUCUUACAGCCGUAGGAAUACAUUCCUCAACACAUUUAAACACCUUUAAAAUUCUCCAUCUUAAAUCGUCAUUCAUAAUGGCGGCGAACACGGGGACGUCCUUGGUGCUGUCCAGUCUUUUGUCAGUACUGGUGUUUGCUGGCAUGCAGAUGUUCAGUAAGCAGUUGGGUUCC